GCCAGGUAGAACUCAGAGAGUCCUUAAGAGAACCAUUGAACAAGCCCCCAGGACAAUGGAAGCCUAGAAGGAAAAUGGCCCCCAAGAGGGUUUGUGGUCAAGCUGGGGUAAGAACUGGAGCUCCACCUCCCAGUUUUGUGUCUUCUCCUGGGAUCCCUUUGUCAUGCUGCCACUCCUCCACCCUGACCCCACACCCCUGCUCCUUCUACUGUGCAGAGUAGACCAUUUCUCUUACCUUUGCAGGAGGAAACUGAGGCAUGAAAAAUGCCUCACAGAAGAGGGUUAGGGACACCUCCAGGAGCAGAGGGAGUUUCAACCCCACCACCUCCUCACCCGGGAAGUUGGAUCUGCCUCCACUCCACAGAAUGUGAGAGCACCCAGCCCUGACAGCAUUAAGGAGCCCCUUCCUGCAUUCCUAGAGAAGUACGGAUACCUCAAUGAACAGGUCCCCAAAGCUCCCACCUCCACUCGAUUCAGCGAUGCCAUCAGAGCGUUUCAGUGGGUGUCCCAGCUACCUGUCAGCGGCGUGUUGGACCGCGCCACCCUGCGCCAGAUGACUCGUCCCCGCUGCGGGGUUACAGAUACCAACAGUUAUGCGGCCUGGGCUGAGAGGAUCAGUGACUUGUUUGCUAGACACCGGACCAAAAUGAGGCGUAAGAAACGCUUUGCAAAGCAAGGUGAGCACUGUUAAAAUCCGGCUAGGCCAAGAUUUCCCAAUGUCUUGAAGCCAAUGGCUAGGAAAACAGCUGAGCCUGGGACUGGACUUUGUCAGUAACCUCUCUUCCCUAGGGCACGGGAGGAGUGGGUGAAUAGGACCUCUUGGCUUGAGGACCAUGAUUGUGAAUACAGACAUUUAAUUCAGAAUGACACCUACAUUGAUGAAUUUUCAUUGUACAAGUGUUUUUCCAGAUCAAACACAAAACCCAUGUAAUUCCUUGAUAAAUUUUCAAUGCAGGGCAGAUAAACUGUUGCUAACAUUUUUCAUUUAUAUUUACUGAAGUUAUUUUCAUCAGAAUUCAUUCUUUUUCAUAAGUUAUUAAACAAAUGUGUGAUCUAUUGA
Molecule: long non-coding RNA, 1060 nt
Filed under: Homo sapiens (human)
Lineage: Eukaryota; Metazoa; Chordata; Mammalia; Primates; Hominidae
Description: HSALNT0239810
Source: RNAcentral